This 727-nucleotide ribosomal RNA is filed under the name uncultured bacterium. RNAcentral's name for it is "bacterial SSU rRNA". It matches the Rfam family "Bacterial small subunit ribosomal RNA", at positions 39 to 761 of the family's 1533-position model. The record is from RNAcentral.
GCGGCAGGCCUAACACAUGCAAGUCGAGCGGUAGAGAGAAGCUUGCUUCUCUUGAGAGCGGCGGACGGGUGAGUAAUGCCUAGGAAUCUGCCUGGUAGUGGGGGAUAACGUUCGGAAACGGACGCUAAUACCGCAUACGUCCUACGGGAGAAAGCAGGGGACCUUCGGGCCUUGCGCUAUCAGAUGAGCCUAGGUCGGAUUAGCUAGUUGGUGAGGUAAUGGCUCACCAAGGCGACGAUCCGUAACUGGUCUGAGAGGAUGAUCAGUCACACUGGAACUGAGACACGGUCCAGACUCCUACGGGAGGCAGCAGUGGGGAAUAUUGGACAAUGGGCGAAAGCCUGAUCCAGCCAUGCCGCGUGUGUGAAGAAGGUCUUCGGAUUGUAAAGCACUUUAAGUUGGGAGGAAGGGUUGUAGAUUAAUACUCUGCAAUUUUGACGUUACCGACAGAAUAAGCACCGGCUAACUCUGUGCCAGCAGCCGCGGUAAUACAGAGGGUGCAAGCGUUAAUCGGAAUUACUGGGCGUAAAGCGCGCGUAGGUGGUUUGUUAGGUUGGAUGUGAAAUCCCCGGGCUCAACCUGGGAACUGCAUUCAAAACUGACUGACUAGAGUAUGGUAGAGGGUGGUGGAAUUUCCUGUGUAGCGGUGAAAUGCGUAGAUAUAGGAAGGAACACCAGUGGCGAAGGCGACCACCUGGACUAAUACUGACACUGAGGUGCGAAAGCG